AUACGGAGGGUGCAAGCGUUACUCGGAAUCACUGGGCGUAAAGGACGCGUAGGCGGGUUGGCAAGUCAGAUGUGAAAUCCUACAGCUUAACUGUAGAACUGCAUUUGAAACUGCUAACCUAGAGUAUGGGAGGGGGAGAUGGAAUUAGUGGUGUAGGGGUAAAAUCCGUAGAUAUCACUAGGAAUACCGAAAGCGAAGGCGAUCUCCUGGAACAUAACUGACGCUAAGGCGUGAAAGCGUGGGGAGCAAACAGGAUUAGAUACCCUUAGUAGUCC
Molecule: ribosomal RNA, 275 nt
Filed under: uncultured bacterium
Lineage: Bacteria
Description: partial 16S ribosomal RNA
Rfam family: Bacterial small subunit ribosomal RNA
Source: RNAcentral